RNAcentral lists this long non-coding RNA (351 nucleotides) under Nicotiana benthamiana. RNAcentral describes it as "long non-coding RNA (NBEN_LNC018008)". Lineage: Eukaryota; Viridiplantae; Streptophyta; Magnoliopsida; Solanales; Solanaceae. The record is from RNAcentral.
CCGAAUCCUCUCGCACAAUUGGUUGUACUUAACCUAUACUUUGGCCUUUUCAUCGAUGAUCCUAUGACCUCGAACAAACCCAGGUUGUCCUAACCUAUUAUGAUCAUCUUCCAACCAGCUUGGAUAGUAUGAGGUAUAACCAGCGUUGUACCUGUCCGGCUCAAUAGUAUCUCUUUCCAUGAUGAUUUUACAGUGCCAUAUUUGCUGAGCUUAACACUUGUAAGGGCUAUCGUCAUCCUGUAAGCCAUCAUUGAAGUGACUUAUUUUGUUGACCCUUGGUAUAACCUUCUUCCUUCUUGCCUGUCUCAUAACUCAGAGAGGAACGUAAGGGUAGGUCCCUCUCAAACCGAU